AACAACAUAAAAAUGCUAACUUAAACCAGCUAUUCGCAAAACCAUUUACCCAAAGAACACCUAGACAUAUGUCCAUAGAACCACAAACAUCUACAUACGCAGAUAGUUUGCAAAACCAAAAUGAGAAAAAGACAUAUAACUACAUCACACGAACCUAUAUCGAAAAUAUACACAAAAUCCAAACUUAUUUAAACCGCAACCCCAUAUCAAUUACAAAAGAACCAAACCAAGAUU
Molecule: long non-coding RNA, 234 nt
Filed under: Solanum tuberosum (potato)
Lineage: Eukaryota; Viridiplantae; Streptophyta; Magnoliopsida; Solanales; Solanaceae
Description: long non-coding RNA (STUB_LNC009044)
Source: RNAcentral